GGUUCUAUAGUGUAGUGGUUUAGCACUCGGGAUUUUGAUCUCGAGUCAGUCUUCCCGCGACGCGAGUUCGAAUCUCGCUAGGACCU
Molecule: transfer RNA, 86 nt
Filed under: Auricularia subglabra TFB-10046 SS5
Lineage: Eukaryota; Fungi; Basidiomycota; Agaricomycetes; Auriculariales; Auriculariaceae
Rfam family: tRNA
About the family: Transfer RNA (tRNA) molecules are approximately 80 nucleotides in length. Their secondary structure includes four short double-helical elements and three loops (D, anti-codon, and T loops). Further hydrogen bonds mediate the characteristic L-shaped molecular structure. tRNAs have two regions of fundamental functional importance: the anti-codon, which is responsible for specific mRNA codon recognition, and the 3' end, to which the tRNAs corresponding amino acid is attached (by aminoacyl-tRNA synthetases). tRNAs cope with the degeneracy of the genetic code in two manners: having more than one tRNA (with a specific anti-codon) for a particular amino acid; and 'wobble' base-pairing, i.e. permitting non-standard base-pairing at the 3rd anti-codon position.
Source: Rfam by way of RNAcentral